Molecule: regulatory RNA element, 64 nt
Organism: Sodalis praecaptivus
Lineage: Bacteria; Pseudomonadati; Pseudomonadota; Gammaproteobacteria; Enterobacterales; Bruguierivoracaceae
Rfam family: Fluoride riboswitch aptamer (crcB RNA motif)
Source: Rfam
GACCCAUCAGGAGAUGACAUUCCUCCUUAUAACCGCCGUUCUGGCUGAUGAUGUCUACGUUCGC